GACGAACGCUGGCGGCGUGCUUAACACAUGCAAGUCGAACGAUGAACCCGGAGCUUGCUCCGGUGGAUUAGUGGCGAACGGGUGAGUAACACGUGAGUAACCUGCACUUUACUCUGGGAUAACUGCGGGAAACUGUAGAUAAUACCGGAUACGACCCUCGGCGGCAUCGCCAGGGGGUGGAAAGAAUUUUGGUCAAGGAUGGACUCGCGGCCUAUCAGCUAGUGAGUGAGGUAACGGCGCAACAAGGCGACGAGGGGUAGCCGGCCUGAGAGGGUGACCGGCCACACUGGGACUGAGACACGGCCCAGACUCCUACGGGAGGCAGCAGUGGGGAAUAUUGCACAAUGGGCGCAAGCCUGAUGCAGCAACGCCGCGUGAGGGAUGACGGCCUUCGGGUUGUAAACCUCUUUUAGUAGGGAAGAAGCGAAAGUGACGGUACCUGCAGAAAAAGCACCGGCUAACUACGUGCCAGCCGCCGCCGUAA
RNAcentral lists this ribosomal RNA (484 nucleotides) under uncultured bacterium. Its description in RNAcentral is "partial 16S ribosomal RNA". It matches the Rfam family "Bacterial small subunit ribosomal RNA", at positions 28 to 523 of the family's 1533-position model. The record is from RNAcentral.